This 274-nucleotide ribosomal RNA is filed under the name uncultured bacterium. RNAcentral describes it as "partial 16S ribosomal RNA". It matches the Rfam family "Bacterial small subunit ribosomal RNA", at positions 523 to 796 of the family's 1533-position model. The record is from RNAcentral.
AUACGAAGGUCCCAAGCGUUGUUCGGAAUCACUGGGCGUAAAGAGUACGUAGGUGGUUUGGUAAGUCAGGUGUGAAAUCCCGAAGCUCAACUUCGGAACUGCAUCCGAUACUGCCAGACUAGAGUAAUGGAGAGGCAGGUGGAAUUCUCGGUGUAGCAGUGAAAUGCGUGGAUAUCGAGAGGAAGACCAAUGGCGAAGGCAGCCUGCUGGACAUUUACUGACGCUGCGGUACGAAGGCUAGGGGAGCGAAAGGGAUUAGAUACCCCAGUAGUCC